UUUAAAUCUUUUUUAGAGAGUUUGAUCCUGGCUCAGGACGAACGCUGGCGGCGUGCCUAACACAUGCAAGUCGAGCGGAGAUAUAUAGAAGGUUUACCGGAAAUAUAUCUUAGCGGCGGACGGGUGAGUAACGCG
This 135-nucleotide ribosomal RNA is filed under the name Acetivibrio mesophilus. RNAcentral's name for it is "Hungateiclostridium mesophilum partial 16S ribosomal RNA". It matches the Rfam family "Bacterial small subunit ribosomal RNA", at positions 1 to 117 of the family's 1533-position model. The record is from RNAcentral. Lineage: Bacteria; Bacillati; Bacillota; Clostridia; Acetivibrionales; Acetivibrionaceae.